RNAcentral lists this ribosomal RNA (393 nucleotides) under uncultured bacterium. RNAcentral describes it as "bacterial SSU rRNA". It matches the Rfam family "Bacterial small subunit ribosomal RNA", at positions 30 to 416 of the family's 1533-position model. The record is from RNAcentral.
AGUGAACGCUGGCGGCAGGCCUAACACAUGCAAGUCGAACGGCAGCACGGCAGUAGCAAUACUGUGGGUGGCGAGUGGCGGACGGGUGAGGAAUACAUCGGGAUCUACCCUGUUGUGGGGGAUAACGUAGGGAAACUUACGCUAAUACCGCAUAAGAACUGAGGUUGAAAGCGGCGGACCGCAAGGCGUCGCGCGAUUGGAUGAACCGAUGUCCGAUUAGCUAGUUGGCGGGGUAAAGGCCCACCAAGGCGACGAUCGGUAGCUGGUCUGAGAGGACGACCAGCCACACUGGAACUGAGACACGGUCCAGACUCCUACGGGAGGCAGCAGUGGGGAAUAUUGGGACAAUGGGCGCAAGCCUGAUCCAGCCAUGCCGCGUGGGUGAAGAAGGCC